This 305-nucleotide ribosomal RNA is filed under the name uncultured bacterium. RNAcentral describes it as "bacterial SSU rRNA". It matches the Rfam family "Bacterial small subunit ribosomal RNA", at positions 334 to 636 of the family's 1533-position model. The record is from RNAcentral.
GAGUCCUACGGGAGGCAGCAGUGAGGAAUAUUGGUCAAUGGGCGAGAGCCUGAACCAGCCAAGUCGCGUGAAGGAUGACGGCCCUAUGGGUUGUAAACUUCUUUUGUCAGGGAGCAAUUGGGUCCACGUGUGGGCUUAGCGAGAGUACCUGAAGAAAAAGCAUCGGCUAACUCCGUGCCAGCCGCCGCGGUAAUACGGAGGAUGCGAGCGUUAUCCGGAUUUAUUGGGUUUAAAGGGUGCGUAGGCGGAAUAUCAAGUCAGAGGUAAAAAUUCGGGGCUCAAGCCCGUCGUGCCGUUGAGACUGG